UACGAGGGGGGCAAGCGUUGUUCGGAAUUAUUGGGCGUAAAGGGUGCGUAGGCGGUUUGGUAAGUCUUAUGUGAAAUCUACAGGCUCAACUUGUAGUCUGCAUGAGAAACUGCCGGGCUUGAGUAUGGGAGAGGUGAGUGGAAUUCCUGGUGUAGCGGUGAAAUGCGUAGAUAUCAGGAGGAACACCGGUGGCGAAGGCAGCCCCCUGGGCUAACACUGACGCUCAGGCACGAAAGCGUGGGGAGCAAACAGG
Molecule: ribosomal RNA, 253 nt
Filed under: uncultured bacterium
Lineage: Bacteria
Description: partial 16S ribosomal RNA
Rfam family: Bacterial small subunit ribosomal RNA
Source: RNAcentral